This 151-nucleotide small RNA is filed under the name Bacillus sp. (in: firmicutes). Its description in RNAcentral is "Bacillus sp. c-di-AMP sequence". It matches the Rfam family "c-di-AMP riboswitch aptamer (ydaO/yuaA leader)". From Rfam's summary of the family: This family represents a conserved RNA structure found upstream of the ydaO and yuaA genes in Bacillus subtilis and related genes in other bacteria. The ydaO/yuaA element is thought to act as a genetic "off" switch for the ydaO and yuaA genes in its native state. Lineage: Bacteria; Bacillati; Bacillota; Bacilli; Caryophanales; Bacillaceae. The record is from RNAcentral. RNAcentral also lists the same sequence under 1 other name.
GCCAAAAACAAGCCGAAACUUCCGACAGCGGAAGUGCGGGGGACUUUUUUUGCAGACCACGGUCUGCAUGGGGUGAAUCGCCGAAUGGCGAAGGGUUGUCUCCUCAAUCCCAACCCGACAACUAACCUCGUAGGCGAAGAAAAGGAGACGA